AUUGAACGCUAGCGGGAUGCCUUACACAUGCAAGUCGAACGGCAGCAUAAGAGAGCUUGCUCUCUUGAUGGCGAGUGGCGAACGGGUGAGUAAUGUAUCGGAACGUGCCCAGUAGCGGGGGAUAACUACGCGAAAGCAUAGCUAAUACCGCAUAAGCCCACGGCCCGGCAUCGGGCUGAGGGAAAAGGAUUUAUUCGCUUCAGGAUGGACUCGCGUCCAAUUAGCUAGUUGGUGAGGUAACGGCCCACCAAGGCGACGAUUGGUAGCCGGACUGAGAGGUUGAACGGCCACAUUGGGACUGAGACACGGCCCAG
Molecule: ribosomal RNA, 314 nt
Filed under: uncultured bacterium
Lineage: Bacteria
Description: bacterial SSU rRNA
Rfam family: Bacterial small subunit ribosomal RNA
Source: RNAcentral